This 849-nucleotide long non-coding RNA is filed under the name Cyanistes caeruleus (blue tit). RNAcentral's name for it is "lncRNA (ENSCCEG00000001118.1)". Lineage: Eukaryota; Metazoa; Chordata; Aves; Passeriformes; Paridae. The record is from RNAcentral.
CACUGGGAGGGGCUAAACGGGGACUGGGAGGGGCUAAACGGGCACUGGGAGGGACUGGGAGGGGCACUGGGACCAGUCUGCGACAGAAAAGGGAGCAAGGGGUGACAGCAGGUGACACAGGUGACACAGUACAGGUGUCUCAGGUGACACAGGUGUCUCAGGGAUGUCUCAGGUGACACAGAUGACACAGUUCAGGUGUCCCAGGUGACACAGGUGUCUCAGGUGUCCCAGGUGACCCAGCUCAGGUGACACAGUACAGGUGUCCCAGGUGUCUCAGGUGUGCAGGUGACACAGGUGACACAGUACAGGUAACACAGUACAGGUGACACAGGUGACACAGGUGUCCCAGGUGACACAGUACAGGUGUCCCAGGUGUCCCAGGUGACACAGUACAGGUGACACAGGUGUCUCAGGUGUCCCAGGUGUCCCAGCUCAGGUGUCUCAGGUGUCCCAGGUGACACAGUACAGGUGACACAGAUGACACAGGUGUCCCAGGUGACACAGUACAGGUGACACAGGUGUCCCAGGUGACACAGGUGACCCAGCUCAGGUGUCUCAGGUGUCCCAGGUGUCCCAGGUGUCUCAGGUGUGCCGGUGUCCCCAGGUGCGGUGAAGGUGACCCCCGGGCACAGCCCCCAGGACCUGGCUCUGGCCCGGGCCCACGGGCUGCCCCUGCUCUGCGUCAUCGGGGACGAUGGCACCUUGUGUCCCCCGGGGGGGGGCUGGCUGCAGGGUGUCCCCAGGGUGUCCCCAAGGUGUCCCCAAUGUCCCCAAGGUGUCCCCAGGGUGUCCCCAGGGUGUCCCCAAGGUGUCCCCAAUGUCCCCCCCAAUGUCCCCAGGGUGUCCCCA